GUGCUCGCUUCGGCAACACAUACACUAAAAUUGGAAUGAUAAAGAGAAGAUUAGCAUGGCUGCUGCGCAAGGAUGACAUGCAAAUUUCAUGAAGCGUAAAAAUUAAAA
Molecule: small nuclear RNA, 108 nt
Organism: Chionomys nivalis (European snow vole)
Lineage: Eukaryota; Metazoa; Chordata; Mammalia; Rodentia; Cricetidae
Source: RefSeq, a predicted model, not a curated record